RNAcentral lists this long non-coding RNA (317 nucleotides) under Monodelphis domestica (gray short-tailed opossum). RNAcentral's name for it is "lncRNA (ENSMODG00000050586.1)". The record is from RNAcentral. Lineage: Eukaryota; Metazoa; Chordata; Mammalia; Didelphimorphia; Didelphidae.
AAAGUUUGAGAAUAGGUUGAGAUCGUUUCGGCCCCAAGACCUCUAAUCAUUCGCUUGACCGGAUAAAACUGCGUGGCGGCGGGUGCCAGGGGAACCAGCUACUAGAUGGUUCGAUUAGUCUUUCGCCCCUAUACCCAGGUCGGACGACCGAUUUGCACGAACACACACGCUCAUGCUCCACCUCCCCGGCGGGGCGGGCGAGACGGGCCGGUGGUGCGCCCUCGGCAGGACGGGAAGAAGGACCGAGGCCUCGGGAUCCCACCUCGGCCGGCGGGCGCCGGGCCUUCAUCCUUCAUUGCGCCACGGGUGGCUUUCGU